This 468-nucleotide ribosomal RNA is filed under the name uncultured bacterium. RNAcentral's name for it is "partial 16S ribosomal RNA". It matches the Rfam family "Bacterial small subunit ribosomal RNA", at positions 28 to 507 of the family's 1533-position model. The record is from RNAcentral.
GACGAACGCUGGCGGCGUGCUUAACACAUGCAAGUCGAACGGAAAGGCCCUGCUUUUGCGCGGUGCUCGUGUGGCAAACGCGUGAGUAACACGUGUGUAACCCGCCCCUGAAUUUGGGAUAACAUCUCGAAAAUGGGGAUAUAACCGGAUAGGAGCUCCUGCAGCAUGGUGGGGGUUGGUAAGUUUCGGCGGUUGUGGAUGGAUUCGCGGCUUAUCAGCUUGUUGGUGAGGUAGUGGCUUACGAAGGCUUUGACGGGUAGCCGGCCUGAGAGGGUGGACGGGCACAAGGGUACUGCGGUACGGACCAGUAGGCUACGGUAGGCAGCAGGCGGGAGUAUGACGGAGUGGGGGGAAGCCUGAGACAGCGACGCCGCGAGCGGGAAGACGUGCUUCGGGGGGUAAACCGCUGUCGCCUGUAACGAAGCGGUAGUGACGGUAAUGGAUAAAGAAGCACCGGCUAACUACGUG